RNAcentral lists this ribosomal RNA (254 nucleotides) under uncultured bacterium. Its description in RNAcentral is "partial 16S ribosomal RNA". It matches the Rfam family "Bacterial small subunit ribosomal RNA", at positions 524 to 776 of the family's 1533-position model. The record is from RNAcentral.
UACGUAGGGGCCUAGCGUUGUCCGGAUUUAUUGGGCGUAAAGAGCUCGUAGGCGGUUCGGUAAGUCAGGUGUGAAAUCUCCACGCUCAACGUGGAGACGCCACCUGAAACUGCCGUGACUCGAGUCCGGUAGGGGAGCGUGGAAUUCCUGGUGUAGCGGUGAAAUGCGCAGAUAUCAGGAGGAACACCAGCGGCGAAGGCGGCGCUCUGGGCCGGUACUGACACUGAGGAGCGAAAGCGUGGGUAGCAAACAGG